RNAcentral lists this unclassified non-coding RNA (334 nucleotides) under soil metagenome. RNAcentral's name for it is "partial contains 5.8S ribosomal RNA, internal transcribed spacer 2, and large subunit ribosomal RNA". The stretch from base 1 to 120 matches the Rfam family "5.8S ribosomal RNA", at positions 35 to 154 of the family's 154-position model. The record is from RNAcentral.
GAUGAAGAACGCAGCGAAAUGCGAUAAGUAAUGUGAAUUGCAGAAUUCAGUGAAUCAUCGAAUCUUUGAACGCACAUUGCGCCCGCCAGUAUUCUGGCGAGCAUGCCUGUUCGAGCGUCAUUUCAACCAUCAAGCCCCAGGCUUUUGUUGGAGCCCUGCGGCUGCCGCAGCCUCCCAAAACCAGUGGCGGGCUCGCUAUCACACCGAGUGCAGUAGUUUACUCUUCGCUCAGGGCGUGUGGCGGGUGCUAGCCGUGAAACCCCCAACUUCUCAAGGUUGACCUCGGAUCAGGUAGGAAUACCCGCUGAACUUAAGCAUAUCAAUAAGCGGAGGA